RNAcentral lists this unclassified non-coding RNA (735 nucleotides) under Hevea brasiliensis (rubber tree). Lineage: Eukaryota; Viridiplantae; Streptophyta; Magnoliopsida; Malpighiales; Euphorbiaceae. The record is from RNAcentral.
AGAGAGAGAGAGAGAGAGAGUAGUUGCAAAGGACAUGUGCCCAUCAAACUCAAAUAAGGCCACAAGCUGGGAUCUAUAUGGUAUUGUUGUUAGAACUUUUAUAUAUAUAUAUAUAAGCACAAACUUGAACAUGUUGAUUGGAGUCCAUAACAAUUAGUCUUAAUGUAAUUUCAAACUGUUAGAACUUUUAUGAAACUGCAUUUUGCAACAUCUAAAAGAAUGGUUUUUGAAAUGUAAUUUCAACCGGUAUGCUAAACAUGCAAUUAACAGAAUUGGUUCACAAGCAAAUGCAACACUAUAAUGGGCAUAUUAUAAGGCUACUCCAAUGGAUGACCAUUAGUCUACAACUGAACAACCAAAACCUUAGGCAAGGCAUGACCAGAAAUAUAUCAUUAUUAAAAAAAUAAAUAAAUAAAGCAAAGAGAACUAGAUAGUGAAAAUUUGGAGGGAAAAAAUGGUAAACAUGAGUCAAUAUUAUAUUCCACCAAAAAUUAAAGUGGAAUAUCAGACUGGAAUUAUCAUUUAAUGAUACUGAAGCAUUAUUAGUUAGCCAUAGAGCCCGUCAAAUGUGUGAUGUGACAAAGAAUGCUCUAAAGACAAAACAAUUUAGUCACUUCUACUUCAAGAUACAUAAAGACACAUAGGGGGAGGGGAAGAAACAACAAAUUUAAGUGAGCAUCACCUUACAACAUAUAGUCUAAUAGUCGUACUUUUUUCCAUCUAACACAAAACUCA